UUAAGUUCAGCGGGUAGUCCUACCUGAUUUGAGGUCAAAUAGUCAAUGUAGAUUGUCUCUUGAAAGAGACGGUUAUAAGCAGGUCCCCACAAGUCUUGUGUCAGAGUCAGGCGGCGUAGAUAAUUAUCACACCAAGUGACCAUCCACAAAGGAAUCCACUAAUGAAUUUAAAGGGAGCAGACCAUCCAAUGAAGGAAGCC
Molecule: unclassified non-coding RNA, 200 nt
Filed under: Agaricales sp.
Lineage: Eukaryota; Fungi; Basidiomycota; Agaricomycetes; Agaricales
Description: partial internal transcribed spacer 2
Source: RNAcentral